GGGACACGUGGUAUCCUGUCUGAAUAUGGGGGGACCAUCCUCCAAGGCUAAAUACUCCUGACUGACCGAUAGUGAACCAGUACCGUGAGGGAAAGGCGAAAAGAACCCCGGCGAGGGGAGUGAAAAAGAACCUGAAACCGUGUACGUACAAGCAGUGGGAGCACGCUUAGGCGUGUGACUGCGUACCUUUUGUAUAAUGGGUCAGCGACUUAUAUUCUGUAGCAAGGUUAACCGAAUAGGGGAGCCGAAGGGAAACCGAGUCUUAACUGGGCGUUAAGUUGCAGGGUAUAGACCCGAAACCCGGUGAUCUAGCCAUGGGCAGGUUGAAGGUUGGGUAACACUAACUGGAGGACCGAACCGACUAAUGUUGAAAAAUUAGCGGAUGACUUGUGGCUGGGGGUGAAAGGCCAAUCAAACCGGGAGAUAGCUGGUUCUCCCCGAAAGCUAUUUAGGUAGCGCCUCGUGAAUUCAUCUCCGGGGGUAGAGCACUGUUUCGGCAAGGGGGUCAUCCCGACUUACCAACCCGAUGCAAACUGCGAAUACCGGAGAAUGUUAUCACGGGAGACACACGGCGGGUGCUAACGUCCGUCGUGAAGAGGGAAACAACCCAGACCGCCAGCUAAGGUCCCAAAGUCAUGGUUAAGUGGGAAACGAUGUGGGAAGGCCCAGACAGCCAGGAUGUUGGCUUAGAAGCAGCCAUCAUUUAAAGAAAGCGUAAUAGCUCACUGGUCGAGUCGGCCUGCGCGGAAGAUGUAACGGGGCUAAACCAUGCACCGAAGCUGCGGCAGCGACACUAUGUGUUGUUGGGUAGGGGAGCGUUCUGUAAGCCUG
RNAcentral lists this ribosomal RNA (831 nucleotides) under Escherichia coli. Its description in RNAcentral is "partial 23S ribosomal RNA". It matches the Rfam family "Bacterial large subunit ribosomal RNA", at positions 419 to 1251 of the family's 2925-position model. The record is from RNAcentral. Lineage: Bacteria; Pseudomonadati; Pseudomonadota; Gammaproteobacteria; Enterobacterales; Enterobacteriaceae.